UAUUUUCCAUUAUUGUAGGUU
Molecule: non-coding RNA, 21 nt
Filed under: Caenorhabditis elegans
Lineage: Eukaryota; Metazoa; Nematoda; Chromadorea; Rhabditida; Rhabditidae
Source: RNAcentral